GCGGGUAUCGUAUAACGGCUAUUAUUUUUGGUUUCCAACCAAACGAUGUGGGUUCGAUUCCCACUACCCGCU
Molecule: transfer RNA, 72 nt
Filed under: Patescibacteria group bacterium
Lineage: Bacteria
Description: tRNA-Gly
Rfam family: tRNA
About the family: Transfer RNA (tRNA) molecules are approximately 80 nucleotides in length. Their secondary structure includes four short double-helical elements and three loops (D, anti-codon, and T loops).
Source: RNAcentral